This is a long non-coding RNA of Sinocyclocheilus rhinocerous, 774 nucleotides long. RefSeq lists it as uncharacterized. NCBI's taxonomy places the organism in Eukaryota, Metazoa, Chordata, Actinopteri, Cypriniformes, Cyprinidae. The record is from RefSeq and is a predicted model, not a curated record. The transcript is spliced from 5 exons.
UGAUGUUGUAACCUGCUGUCGGGAAUGCAUGAAAUGAUUGAAAACUGUUUACCUUCAAUGCGAUGCAGUCGCUUUGGAUAAAGGGACCUGCCAAAUGCAUAAAUGUAAAGAAUCACAUGGAUUUUGCAUAUUGCAGCUCGGGGAAAAUCUGCCCUGUGGAGAACCGUGACAGCCCAAGGAUGUGUUCUGAAGGCCUUCAGACAAUUUGGAGAGAAAAAAAGUGCUAAAACCACUGUAAACUCCUCAAACCAGCUCUCCAGAGAGUAGCCAUGAAAAACAUCAGUAGAAGAACAUCUCAGGGUGACAUCCCUGUGGACCUCAGAGUAAGGAAUGACCAUAAAGAGACCCCCGUGUUUCACCCCCAUGUCCUGAUGGAGAGAGGUCAGAGGUCAUGAGGAGCAUGGAUAUGUCCAUUCCCAAAGGGGCUGAAGGGUAAUGGAAUGGCAGAUUCAGGCCAAACAGAGCAAUUUGUGCUUGUCCCAUCUGAACCUGGAAGAAAAGAGAAAGACAUGAAUUUGACCGAGCUUUCCCACAUCAAGUGCAUUCAAAUGAGCCACAGUGACAUAGGGGCUGCUGGGAUGUAUUGAUGCCCAGGUGACAAAGCUGAUCCUGGGGGGAUAGAGAGAUAGAUCCGCUUUAUCUGCUCUCCCCUCCAGCGCCACUAACCACAAUCAGAGCCACCGUGAGCUGCUUCAACUCUGGAAGAGCAAUGAGACCCUGGAGACCAACCAAGCUAUCGCUUUGAUCUGAGAAAGAGAGAGAGAGAGACAGAGA